AACUUGGAGGCAGAGACCCAAGCAGCUGGAGGCUCUGUGUGUGGUCGCUGAUUUCUUGGAGCCUGAAAAGAAGGUAACUGGGCAUAUGAGGGACAGAUGGAGUGAGUCAGUGGAGCAGCGACUGGACCCAGAGCCAUGUGGCUGUGCCCUCUGGCCCUCACCCUCAUCUUGAUGGCAGCCUCUGGUGCUGCGUGCGAAGUGAAG
This 204-nucleotide long non-coding RNA is filed under the name Homo sapiens (human). RNAcentral describes it as "non-protein coding lnc-SFTPA2-3:1". The record is from RNAcentral. Lineage: Eukaryota; Metazoa; Chordata; Mammalia; Primates; Hominidae.